GUAGGUGGCAAGCGUUGUCCGGAAUUAUUGGGCGUAAAGCGCGCGCAGGCGGUUCUUUAAGUCUGAUGUGAAAGCCCACGGCUCAACCGUGGAGGGUCAUUGGAAACUGGAGAACUUGAGUACAGAAGAGGAAAGCGGAAUUCCACGUGUAGCGGUGAAAUGCGUAGAGAUGUGGAGGAACACCAGUGGCGAAGGCGGCUUUCUGGUCUGUAACUGACGCUGAGGCGCGAAAGCGUGGGGAGCAAACAGGAUUAGAUACCCUGGUAGUCCACGCCGUAAACGAUGAGUGCUAAGUGUUAGGGGGGUUUUCCGCCCCCCUUAGUGCUGCAGCUAACGCAUUAAGCACCCCCCGCCUGGGGAGUACGGCCGCAAGGCUG
This 377-nucleotide ribosomal RNA is filed under the name uncultured organism. RNAcentral describes it as "partial 16S ribosomal RNA". It matches the Rfam family "Bacterial small subunit ribosomal RNA", at positions 527 to 896 of the family's 1533-position model. The record is from RNAcentral.